Molecule: ribosomal RNA, 257 nt
Filed under: uncultured bacterium
Lineage: Bacteria
Description: partial 16S ribosomal RNA
Rfam family: Bacterial small subunit ribosomal RNA
Source: RNAcentral
UACGUAGGGGGCAAGCGUUGUCCGGAUUUAUUGGGCGUAAAGAGCGUGUAGGCGGCCAUACCAGGUCAGCUGUGAAAACUCGAGGCUCAACCUCGAGACGUCGGUUGAAACCGUAUGGCUAGAGUCCGGAAGAGGAGAGUGGAAUUCCCGGUGAUAGCGGUGAAAUGCGCAGAUAUCGGGAAGAACACCCGUGGCGAAGGCGGCUCUCUGGGACGGUACUGACGCUGAGACGGCGAAAAGCGUGGGGAGCGAACAGG